This 425-nucleotide ribosomal RNA is filed under the name uncultured prokaryote. RNAcentral's name for it is "bacterial SSU rRNA". It matches the Rfam family "Bacterial small subunit ribosomal RNA", at positions 355 to 796 of the family's 1533-position model. The record is from RNAcentral.
CAACGAAUAUUCCGCAAUGGGCGAAAGCCUGACGGAGCAAUGCCGCGUGCGGGAUGAAGCAUCUCGGUGUGUAAACCGCUGUCAGGGGCGACCAACCCAAUGAGGAGCCCCAGAGGAAGAGCCGGCUAACUCUGUGCCAGCAGCCGCGGUAAUACAGAGGGCUCGAGCGUUGCGCGGAUUCACUAGGCUUAAAGCGUGCGUAGGCGGAGGCGCAAGUGCGUUGUGAAAUCCCACGGCUCAACCGUGGAACCGCGAUGCAGACUGCGUCUCUUGAGGCCGGUAGGGGCUGUCGGAACGGUAGGUGGAGCGGUGAAAUGCGUAGAUAUCUACCGGAACGCCCGAGGCGAAGGCGGACAGCUGGGCCGGUUCUGACGCUGAGGCACGAAAGCGUGGGGAGCGAACGGGAUUAGAUACCCCUGUAGUCC